AGAGUUUGAUCCUGGCUCAGAACGAACGCUGGCGGCAUGCCUAACACAUGCAAGUCGAACGCUUUUGGGGCUUCGGCCGCAAAGGAGUGGCGCACGGGUGAGUAGCGCGUGGGAACCUGCCCUGUUGUGGGGGAUAACCGAGGGAAACUUCGGCUAAUACCGCAUGCGCCCGGGCAACCGGGGAAAGAUUUAUCGCAGCAGGAGGGGCCCGCGUCGGAUUAGCUGGUUGGGGGGGUAACGGCCUACCAAGGCUCCGAUCCGUAGCUGGUCUGAGAGGAUGCUCAGCCACACUGGGACUGAGACACGGCCCAGACUCCUACGGGAGGCAGCAGUGGGGAAUAGUGGACAAUGGGCGCAAGCCUGAUCCAGCAAUGCCGCGUGAGUGAUGAAGGCCUUAGGGUUGUAAAGCUCUUUCGCCCGCGACGAUGAUGACGGUAGCGGGAGAAGAAGCCCAGGAUAACUUCGUGCAAGCAGCCGCGGUUAC
This 484-nucleotide ribosomal RNA is filed under the name uncultured bacterium. RNAcentral's name for it is "bacterial SSU rRNA". It matches the Rfam family "Bacterial small subunit ribosomal RNA", at positions 8 to 524 of the family's 1533-position model. The record is from RNAcentral.